GGGGUUUUAGUUUAACGGUAGAACAAAUGACUGCAAAUCAUCUGGACGUGGUUCAACUCCACGAAAUCCCU
Tritrichomonas foetus is the source of this 71-nucleotide transfer RNA. It matches the Rfam family "tRNA". Rfam says of the family: Transfer RNA (tRNA) molecules are approximately 80 nucleotides in length. The record is from Rfam. NCBI's taxonomy places the organism in Eukaryota, Parabasalia, Tritrichomonadida, Tritrichomonadidae.